RNAcentral lists this long non-coding RNA (237 nucleotides) under Physcomitrium patens. Its description in RNAcentral is "long non-coding RNA (PPAT_LNC002036)". The record is from RNAcentral. Lineage: Eukaryota; Viridiplantae; Streptophyta; Bryopsida; Funariales; Funariaceae.
UAUAUAGUGACUAUGUAAGAGCUUUGCAAAGUAAUAGUUGUUUUGGAUGAUUGUGGAAUUUGUGAAAUAAAAAAGACAUUAUGUUUUGGAAAAAUUUGUAAGUUUGGUAGUAGAUCUAUGAUUUAAAUUUUAAGGACUUAUGUGAAUAGUUAUGUAAAGUGUAUGAUGUAAAUUUGAGCUUGAUCAAAUGGUUGAAUUAAAGGUUAUUGAAUUUCAAGUAGGUUGAGGUCUCAAAAA